AUUGAACGCUGGCGGCAUGCCUUACACAUGCAAGUCGAACGGCAGCACGGGUGCUUGCACCUGGUGGCGAGUGGCGAACGGGUGAGUAAUAUAUCGGAACGUGCCCUAGAGUGGGGGAUAACGUAGCGAAAGUUACGCUAAUACCGCAUACGAUCUACGGAUGAAAGUGGGGGAUCGCAAGACCUCAUGCUCCUGGAGCGGCCGAUAUCUGAUUAGCUAGUUGGUGGGGUAAAAGCCUACCAAGGCGACGAUCAGUAGCUGGUCUGAGAGGACGACCAGCCACACUGGGACUGAGACACGGCCCAGACUCCUACGGGAGGCAGCAGUGGGGAAUUUUGGACAAUGGGGGAAACCCUGAUCCAGCAAUGCCGCGUGUGUGAAGAAGGCCUUCGGGUUGUAAAGCACUUUUGUCAGGAACGAAACGGUGGGGGCUAAUACCUCCUGCUAAUGACGGUACCUGAAGAAUAAGCACUGGCUAACUACGUGCCAGCCGCCGCCGUAA
RNAcentral lists this ribosomal RNA (502 nucleotides) under uncultured bacterium. RNAcentral's name for it is "partial 16S ribosomal RNA". It matches the Rfam family "Bacterial small subunit ribosomal RNA", at positions 30 to 523 of the family's 1533-position model. The record is from RNAcentral.